AAUGGACCCGGCUGGACCGGGUGGCUAUCCUGGGCGCCGAUCCCUCAGGGACAC
RNAcentral lists this non-coding RNA (54 nucleotides) under unclassified sequences. Its description in RNAcentral is "sul1 RNA". It matches the Rfam family "sul1 RNA". The record is from Rfam by way of RNAcentral.